GACGUAGGGCGCGAGCGUUGUCCGGAUUUAUUGGGCGUAAAGAGCUCGUAGGCGGCUUGUCGCGUCGUCCGUGAAAACCUGCGGCUCAACUGCAGGCUGGCGGUCGAUACGCGCAGGCUGGAGUUCGGUAGGGGAGACUGGAAUUCCUGGUGUAGCGGUGAAAUGCGCAGAUAUCAGGAGGAACACCCGUGGCGAAGGCGGUUCUCUGGGACGGUACUGACGCUGAGACGCGAAAGCGUGGGGAGCGAACAGG
RNAcentral lists this ribosomal RNA (253 nucleotides) under uncultured bacterium. Its description in RNAcentral is "partial 16S ribosomal RNA". It matches the Rfam family "Bacterial small subunit ribosomal RNA", at positions 524 to 776 of the family's 1533-position model. The record is from RNAcentral.